GAUGAACGCUGGCGGCGUGCCUAAUACAUGCAAGUCGAGCGGACAGACGAUGCGCUUGCUCCUCUGACGUUAGCGGCGCACGUGUGAAUAACACGAGUAUAACCUACCUAUAAUUCUGGUAUAACUUCGGGACACCGGAGCUUAUACCGUAGAAUAUCUUGAACCGCAUGGUUCGAUAGUAAGAUUCGGUGUUUCUGUCACGUCUAGCGGGAUCCGCGCCGCAUUAGCUAGUUGUGAAGGUACCAGGUUACCAAGGCAACGAUGCGUAGGCGAACUGAGAGGCUGAUCGGCCACACUGGAACGUGGACACGGUCCAGACUCCUACGGGAGGCAGCAGUAGGGAAUCUGACGCAGUGGGCGAAAGCAUGACGGAGCAACGCCGCGCGAGUGAUGAAGGUGCUCGGAUCGUAAAACUCUGUUAUUAGGGAAGAACAACUGUGUACGUAAAUAUGCACGUCUUGACGGUACCUAAUCAGAAAGCAACGGCUAACUACGUG
This 497-nucleotide ribosomal RNA is filed under the name uncultured bacterium. RNAcentral describes it as "partial 16S ribosomal RNA". It matches the Rfam family "Bacterial small subunit ribosomal RNA", at positions 28 to 507 of the family's 1533-position model. The record is from RNAcentral.